UUUGUAGAUAUUCAUUGCAAGUUGAAUCCAAAUUUCUCCAAGUUCCUGCCUGAAGAUUUGUUGAUUAUUAUGACAGAUGAACCCUUUUUCGAAGAAGGUAUGUGCUUUUCCUGUUUAUGUUGUAUAUCUUAACAGCUUUGCCAUUUAAACAAUUGAGUACAAGCGCUCUCCCUUGACCAGUAAAAUUGUCUGGCAUUAUAGACAGAGUAAAAUAAUAAAGUAUUGAGUGCAUUAGGGUGCAAUGCAGCUUAAUGGGUUAACUAGACACAAUUGAGCAGAUAACCUGAUUAAUCAGCCCAUUGAGUGCCAACUGGUGCUUUCCACUUGAUGAGUAAAAUUCCCCGGCAUAACUUAAAAUUAAAGACAGAGUAAAAUUGUACAUCUAACAUUGUCUAAUAAUAUGAAAGAAAUUUUAUGUAUUUACAGAGAGAGCAAAUCUCUUUCUUUCGAAAGAAAAUUGCUAAGUACUCGAUUGAUAGCUAAUAGAUGUAAUAACCUGUGAAUAGAUCAUUAUACCAUGCAGUUAAUUACAUUAUACUGUAUAUAAUAACAUAUUUCUUUCAUAAUUUUGUAAAUACUAUAGCUUCUAAAAUUCUUUACAUAUUGUAUCAAGCUUUCUAUGACUUUUGUGCAUGCCUCUUGUGGAAAUCAGCUUUGGUUGACAGUGAGGGUCAGCAGGUUUAAAAAACAUUUUCUAUAGAUCUGUCUAAAAAACAGUAAAAUAAAUUAUAAAUGAGGAUGCCAUUCAGCUUAUUGAGUUAACACAUAUGCAAAGCUGCAAUGUGGCAUGUGCCUGGCUGUAUUAUUUCACUCUCCCGGGUUUAAAUUAUUUCACAUCCUCAAAAAUCAAUUUUGGAAUUUUUAGAUAUAUGUUGCAAGUUCCAAGAAUGCUUGUUGGCUGAACUUCAAAAAAAUGAACACUGUCAUUGGAAAGUAUAUUAACAGGUCUUGAUAUUUUUUGUAUCUCAUGCUUUGAAAACUAUGUAUAUGAUUGCUGUGAUCAUUGGCUGAGUUUACUAUUGAGUUUUUAAAAAAGCUAGGUGGCAAAAUACUGCAUGAUUGUAAAUCCACAAUAUUUAUUUUAAAAACACACAACCCUUUCAGCAGAUGUAGAUUUGGAAAUUGCAGUUUCAUGCUAAGCGUCUUUUAAGCCACCAACCAUAGACAGUUGCUAGUUUUCAAAGCAUUCUAAUUUCAGAUCAAGCCAAGGAAUGACAAACUGUGUGUUUUGAAAAGUGUACAUGCAUGUUUUCAGUUUUGAUAUAUGUUUUUCAUGUUUGGCAUAAAUGCUUAUUUGGGUUUUCAAGUUUCAAAAGAUUUUGCAUGUUGGAUAUCGUAAUUUGUGGAAAAAAAUAGAACAUUUUCAGUUUGUCAUUAUUUGGCUUUGUAACAUCAAUUGAACAGUGAGAAGAUUGAGAUGGUUCUAUAAGAAACAUUCCCUUACAGAUAAAACAUGUCUGUUCAAAUCACCAUUGAAUUCAAUAUUCUGUGUUUUUAGUCAUUUGAAGCAUGUUCCCAUUGAAACAUGAAAAUGAACAAUGAACUUGAACUUGUUUAUCAAAAUGCAUUGUGAAUAAAAGUUAAUUUUGGUUUCUGAAGUACAGUACCAUCUUAAUCUUCUUUUGUUUUAAUUAAGCAGACUUCAAGUGUUUGUUUGACAGUUAAUUAAGAAAGUUUGUUUGAAAUCACAUUUAGGUUCUAGAUGUUAUUAGAGCCUUCAAAUAUUAAAUCUUGGAACAAGCAAUUUGGAUCAAUUGCAGUAUGCAACACCUUUUAAAUUAAUUAGCACUGUUAGAACUGCCUUGUUGUUUAAUAGUCUUGUCUUAUUUACCCC
Non-coding RNA from Paramuricea clavata, 1834 nucleotides. Lineage: Eukaryota; Metazoa; Cnidaria; Anthozoa; Malacalcyonacea; Plexauridae. The record is from the annotation of a GenBank genome assembly.